RNAcentral lists this non-coding RNA (23 nucleotides) under Arabidopsis thaliana (thale cress). Lineage: Eukaryota; Viridiplantae; Streptophyta; Magnoliopsida; Brassicales; Brassicaceae. The record is from RNAcentral.
UGUUGCAGGUUCGAGUCAAUCCG